Molecule: ribosomal RNA, 486 nt
Filed under: uncultured bacterium
Lineage: Bacteria
Description: partial 16S ribosomal RNA
Rfam family: Bacterial small subunit ribosomal RNA
Source: RNAcentral
AUUGAACGCUGGCGGCAUGCCUUACACAUGCAAGUCGAACGGCAGCACGGGUGCUUGCACCUGGUGGCGAGUGGCGAACGGGUGAGUAAUACAUCGGAACAUGUCCUGUAGUGGGGGAUAGCCCGGCGAAAGCCGGAUUAAUACCGCAUACGAUCUACGGCUGAAAGCGGGGGACCUUCGGGCCUCGCGCUAUCGGGUUGGCCGAUGGCGGAUUAGCUAGUUGGUGGGGUAAAGGCCUACCAAGGCGACGAUCAGUAGCUGGUCUGAGAGGACGACCAGCCACACUGGGACUGAGACACGGCCCAGACUCCUACGGGAGGCAGCAGUGGGGAAUUUUGGACAAUGGGCGAAAGCCUGAUCCAGCAAUGCCGCGUGUGUGAAGAAGGCCUUCGGGUUGUAAAGCACUUUUGUCCGGAAAGAAAUCCUUGGCCCUAAUACGGUCGGGGGAUGACGGUACCGGAAGAAUAAGCACCGGCUAACUACGUG